This 297-nucleotide long non-coding RNA is filed under the name Malus domestica (apple). RNAcentral's name for it is "long non-coding RNA (MDOM_LNC005106)". Lineage: Eukaryota; Viridiplantae; Streptophyta; Magnoliopsida; Rosales; Rosaceae. The record is from RNAcentral.
AGAAAAUUGAGAUUCCACCAUGAAACCAAUUGGCAAUAUGAAGAGUAGUCCAACUACUUAUAAGCACAUGUAAGGUCAUUCUUCUCACCAAUGUGAAAUUCAUUCUUAACACUUUGUAGAAGUGUGUAGGAAUAGUUACAAAACAUGAACAACUAACUCUCGUAUGCUAUUCUUUUAUCUUUUCUUAUACUGUUGUCGGUUUGAACCAUAAACAGUUCCCAACUCGACUACGUGACUCCAAAGUUUUAUUAUAUGUGUAUUUUUUACGCGUUGAUUCGUCUCGUGUUGUUAACUUGU